This is a microRNA precursor of Lepisosteus oculatus (spotted gar), 91 nucleotides long. Ensembl annotates it as microRNA 128-2. Its record names the gene MIR128-2. NCBI's taxonomy places the organism in Eukaryota, Metazoa, Chordata, Actinopteri, Semionotiformes, Lepisosteidae. The record is from Ensembl.
UUUGCAGUAGGACUGGGGGCCGUUACACUGUAAGAGAUUGAGUAGCAGAUCUCACAGUGAACCGGUCUCUUUUUUUGCUGCUUUCUACUCU